GUUUCGAAUUACCCCCCAACUAAGGGGGUUUAGUUCCUCAUACUCACAACACAAAGUUUAUUGAAUUGAAACAUUGAAACAUAAGAAAGAUCACACCUAAAAAUUCCAGCAAUCUAAAUUGCACAGCAGGAACAUCUAAGAACCUUCCUCCUCUUCCUUGGUUGCGGCACAGGGGUUUGUGAUGGUUUUUGGGAGUUAUGGAUGG
This 205-nucleotide long non-coding RNA is filed under the name Malus domestica (apple). Its description in RNAcentral is "long non-coding RNA (MDOM_LNC020922)". Lineage: Eukaryota; Viridiplantae; Streptophyta; Magnoliopsida; Rosales; Rosaceae. The record is from RNAcentral.